This 492-nucleotide ribosomal RNA is filed under the name uncultured bacterium. Its description in RNAcentral is "partial 16S ribosomal RNA". It matches the Rfam family "Bacterial small subunit ribosomal RNA", at positions 29 to 507 of the family's 1533-position model. The record is from RNAcentral.
AGUGAACGCUGGCGGCAGGCCUAACACAUGCAAGUCGAACGGCAGCACAGUAGCAUCUUGCUCUUCCGGGUUGCGAGUCGGGGGCGUGAGAAGUAUACAGCGGUCUCUACUUUUUCGUGGGAGAUCACGUAGGUAAAUUUACUAUCAUACCGCACACCCUCUGGGGGUGAGCGGAGGAGAUCUUCACCUCUUGCGCUUUUCUAUGAGCCGAUGUCGGAUUAGCUAGUUGGCGGGGUAAAGGCCCACCAAGGCGACGAUCCGUAGCUGGUCUGAGAGGAUGAUCAGCCACACUGGAACUGAGACACGGUCCAGACUCCUACGGGAGGCAGCAGUGGGGAAUAUUGGACAAUGGGCGAAAGCCUGAUCCAGCCAUACCGCGUGGGUGAAGAAGGCCUUCGGGUUGUAAAGCCCUUUUGUUGGGAAAGAAAAGCAGCAGGUUAAUACCCCGCGGUAAUGACGGUACCCAAAGAAUAAGCACCGGCUAACUUCGUG